This is a non-coding RNA of Suillus decipiens, 91 nucleotides long. The record is from the annotation of a GenBank genome assembly. Lineage: Eukaryota; Fungi; Basidiomycota; Agaricomycetes; Boletales; Suillaceae.
GGGCACUUGGCACAGUUGGUAGCGCGCACGCUUCGCACAUCCUCUGGGUCUAGAUUGCGUGAGGUCGUGGGUUCAACUCCCACAGUGUCCA